Molecule: long non-coding RNA, 652 nt
Organism: Pseudophryne corroboree (corroboree frog)
Lineage: Eukaryota; Metazoa; Chordata; Amphibia; Anura; Myobatrachidae
Exons: 4
Source: RefSeq, a predicted model, not a curated record
GAUGAAUGGAACAUAGAAAUAUAUACUAUGUCCUACUACAAAAAAGUCUUGCAAUAGAAACAGACUUGUCAUGCAUCUGUAAUAUCACGAUUAGAGGAGAUGUUAUGAAACGUCAAUAAACCUGGCCAGAGAGACUGGAUCAAGAUGCAUUUGCCAUGGUCCAUCUGUUUAUUAGUCUCCUAAUGGGUCUGUCAUAGAGCAAUGAGGCAGAACAUCCAGGUAGAGGACAAGAUAUGCUAACUGUAGCCUCCAGUACCAAAUAUCAUCAGGGUCACCUACUGUGUCCUUCAACCUAAAACUGGAUGAUAUCAGUGGUGUGCAUGAGAGAGAAAAGUGAGGCUAAUGAGAUUUCUCAGGUAGCCAGACAGCGAUGCAGCACCCCCUUCUCCCUCCCACCCCCCAAAUCUUCUGGGAGAGAUGACACGCCACCAGUCUUCCCACAGUGCCCUGUGCUUCGAAGAGUCACAGGAUCAUGGUAAAAAGAGGAAGAUAGAAGAGACAGCUGGUUGAUGGAAGCUGCUGCUCCAGAACCAAAUGAGGCCAGGAGAUGAAUCUGUCCCAUCUCUACAGAUAGGAGUUGGUGAUGCACCUGCUGCAUUGAAUUGUGACUCCCGACGCCCCCAGCAUGAAAUAUAGUUUGCUAUUUUGGAAG